CCUACGGGGGGCAGCAGUGGGGAAUCUUGGACAAUGGGCGCAAGCCUGAUCCAGCUAUUCCGCGUGUGUGAAGACGGCUUUCGGUUUGUAAACCUCUUUUGUCGGGGAGCAAAAGCUGGCCGUAUCCGGCUGUGAGAGUACCCGAAGCAAAAGCAUCGGCUAACUCCGUGCCAGCAGCCGCGGUAAUACGUAGGAUGCGAGCGUUAUCCGGAUUUAUGGGGUUUAAAGGGUGCGCAGGCGGAUUUUUAAGUCAGCGGUCAAAUCGUGGGGCUCAACCCCAUCCAGCCGUUGAAACUGGGGAUCUAGAGUGUGCGAGAGGUAUGCGGAAUGCGUGGUGUAGCGGUGAAAUGCAUAGAUAUCACGCAGAACCCCGAUUGCGAAGGCAGCAUACCGGUGCACAACUGACGCUCAGGCACGAAAGCGUGGGUAUCGAACAGGAUUUGAUACCCCAGUAGUC
Molecule: ribosomal RNA, 457 nt
Filed under: uncultured bacterium
Lineage: Bacteria
Description: partial 16S ribosomal RNA
Rfam family: Bacterial small subunit ribosomal RNA
Source: RNAcentral